UUACGGUCAAAUCACGCUGAAACACCGGUUCUCGUACGAUCACCGAAGUUAAGCAUCGUAGAGCCAGGUCAGUACUUAGAUGGGGGGACCGCUUGGGAACACCUGGUACUGUAAG
Molecule: ribosomal RNA, 115 nt
Filed under: Acanthosepion pharaonis
Lineage: Eukaryota; Metazoa; Mollusca; Cephalopoda; Sepiida; Sepiidae
Source: RNAcentral